AUUGAACGCUGGCGGCAGGCCUAACACAUGCAAGUCGAACGGUAACAGGAAGAAGCUUGCUUCUUUGCUGACGAGUGGCGGACGGGUGAGUAAUGUCUGGGAAACUGCCUGAUGGAGGGGGAUAACUACUGGAAACGGUAGCUAAUACCGCAUAACGUCGCAAGGCCAAAGAGGGGGACCUUCGGGCCUUUUGCCAUCGGAUGUGCCCAGAUGGGAUUAGCUAGUAGGUGGGGUAACGGCUCACCUAGGCGACGAUCCCUAGCUGGUCUGAGAGGAUGACCAGCCACACUGGAACUGAGACACGGUCCAGACUCCUACGGGAGGCAGCAGUGGGGAAUAUUGCACAAUGGGCGCAAGCCUGAUGCAGCCAUGCCGCGUGUAUGAAGAAGGCCUUCGGGUUGUAAAGUACUUUCAGCGGGGAGGAAGGGAGUAAAGUUAAUACCUUUGCUCAUUGACGUUACCCGCAGAAGAAGCACCGGCUAACUCCGUG
RNAcentral lists this ribosomal RNA (490 nucleotides) under uncultured bacterium. Its description in RNAcentral is "partial 16S ribosomal RNA". It matches the Rfam family "Bacterial small subunit ribosomal RNA", at positions 30 to 507 of the family's 1533-position model. The record is from RNAcentral.